AAAUGACACAAUAUUGUCAUGGUAAUCAAAGUACAAGAGAGUGAGAAGAUGAACCCAAUUGAAACAACAAACUUUUUGACUUGUUUUCUUAUCAAUCAUUGUCAUCAUAACAAAUAUCAACAUACUUUUAUUAUUUUGUUUUACAUUUAGUGAAUUUUUUACUUGAUUAUUCAAGUGUUCAUUGUGGGUUCGAUAUCUGUCCUUAGAGACAAAUUAUUAUUUCUGACAACGCGAUGCAUUUUCCGUAGAAUAGUCAUCAAGUUUUUG
This 267-nucleotide long non-coding RNA is filed under the name Phaseolus vulgaris (common bean). Its description in RNAcentral is "long non-coding RNA (PVUL_LNC003064)". Lineage: Eukaryota; Viridiplantae; Streptophyta; Magnoliopsida; Fabales; Fabaceae. The record is from RNAcentral.